UACGGAGGGUGCAAGCAUUGAUCGGAAUUACUGGGCGUAAAGGGCGCGUAGGCGGUCCGAAAAGUCAGAUGUGAAAUUCCGGGGCUCAACCCCGGAGCUGCAUUUGAAACUAUCGGACUUGAGGAUGGUAAGGGAAAACGGAAUUCCACGUGUAGCGGUGAAAUGCGUAGAUAUGUGGAAGAACACCGGUGGUGAAGACGGUUUUCUGUGCCAAACCUGACGCUGAGGCGCGAAAGCUAGGGGAGCAAACAGG
This 253-nucleotide ribosomal RNA is filed under the name uncultured bacterium. Its description in RNAcentral is "partial 16S ribosomal RNA". It matches the Rfam family "Bacterial small subunit ribosomal RNA", at positions 524 to 776 of the family's 1533-position model. The record is from RNAcentral.